CGCUAUCACUCCUACGGGAGCAGCAGUGGGAAUAUUGGACAAUGGCGAAAGCCUGAUCCAGCCAUGCCGCGUGUGUGAAGAAGGUCUUCGGAUUGUAAAGCACUUUAAGUUGGAGGAAGGGCAUUAACCUAAUACGUUAGUGUUUGACGUUACCGACAGAAUAAGCACCGGCUAACUCUGUGCCAGCAGCCGCGGUAAUACAGAGGUGCAAGCGUUAAUCGGAAUUACUGGGCGUAAAGCGCGCGUAGGUGGUUUGUUAAGUUGGAUGUGAAAUCCCGGCUCAACCUGGGAACUGCAUUACAAAACUGACUGACUAGAGUAUGGUAGAGGGUGGUGGUAAUUUCCUGUGUAGCGGUAGAAAUGCGUAGAUAUAGGAAGGAACACCAGUGGCGAAGGCGACCACCUGGACUAAUACUGACACUGAGGUGACGAAAGCGUGGGGAGCAAACAGGAUUAGAUACCCUGGUAG
This 469-nucleotide ribosomal RNA is filed under the name uncultured bacterium. RNAcentral's name for it is "bacterial SSU rRNA". It matches the Rfam family "Bacterial small subunit ribosomal RNA", at positions 328 to 793 of the family's 1533-position model. The record is from RNAcentral.